GAUCCUGGCUCAGAUUGAACGCUGGCGGUAUGCCUUACACAUGCAAGUCGAACGGUAGAGGGGCAACCCUUGAGAGUGGCGGACGGGUGAGUAAUACAUCGGAACGUGCCCAGUCGUGGGGGAUAACGUAGCGAAAGCUACGCUAAUACCGCAUACGACCUGAGGGUGAAAGCGGGGGAUCGCAAGACCUCGCGCGAUUGGAGCGGCCUAUCAGCUUGUUGGUGGGGUAAUGGCCUACCAAGGCUUCGACGGGUAGCCGGCCUGAGAGGGUGACCGGCCACACUGGGACUGAGACACGGCCCAGACUCCUACGGGAGGCAGCAGUGGGGAAUAUUGGACAAUGGGCGGAAGCCUGAUCCAGCAACGCCGCGUGAGGGAUGACGGCCUUCGGGUUGUAAACCUCUUUCAGUACCGACGAAGCGCCGAUGAUGGUGGUGACGGUAGGUACAGAAGAAGCACCGGCCAACUACGUG
Molecule: ribosomal RNA, 473 nt
Filed under: uncultured bacterium
Lineage: Bacteria
Description: bacterial SSU rRNA
Rfam family: Bacterial small subunit ribosomal RNA
Source: RNAcentral